AUUUAUAUUUGCACUGGCUCCAGUCUGCGGUGGGGCUGGAAAGUGUAUUUCAUUCAGGUCAGUGAACAUUUUUACGUACCAUAAAAUAUAGGACAUAUAAAUAGUCUUGACUUGAUUACCAACCGGGCAGCGAGGCAGAAAAGAAACCACCUGAGAUUCUGAAAUUCAGACUUUCACAAAAUGAUUUCCUAUAAGCUCAACUUGAUUAUUUUUACCCAGCAACAGCCUCUUUGCACUCUAUGAACUAACAUGGUUUGGUACACAGUAGGUACACUAUUCAAGUAUGCACAGUGUCAAUUAAAUUAAAUAGUUGUUUACACUGACAUAGUUAUUCAGAUACUGAAACGUCACAGAUAUCACUGUGUGUCCUUAUUAUUUAAAGGAGGAGUCGGGGGCGGCUGGGCAGCUUCCUGGCAGAGGUGACAUAGGGAUACAUUGGCAGCCCUGGGUCUAUUGCCCAGAACAGAGGCACGUAGGGGGGCACAACGUGGGGCACAGAGGAGAGGAUCCAAUGGGAACUAGGUGGCCUUUCCCCCCCAUCUCUUCCCUUUCACACAGGGGUCAUUCCCCCGGAGAGAGGGCUGGAGGCUGGAUGGCACGGAGAGGAAGAGAAACAGGCUAAUACUGCCAGGCCCUGGGGCCCUGCUUCCUGACCGGGUGGGAGACCCUUGAUACACACAACACACACCCCGCCCUCAUACAGCAUGUCACUUCAAGGGAAGGGUAGGGGUUUCCAGCCUUCCGCCAGCGACAGUAAAUCACUCUGCCUUGCACCGUUGUCCACCAGGAAACUAAACCACCCUGCCUUGCACCGUUGUCCACAAGGAAACUAAACCCCCCUGCCUUGCAUCGUUGUCCACCAGGAAACUAAACCACCCAGCCUUGCACCGUUGUCCACCAGGAAACUAAACCCCCCUACCUUGCACCGUUGUCCACCAGGAAACUAAACCACCCAGCCUUGCAUCGUUGUCCACCAGGAAACUAAACCCCCCUGCCUUGCAUCGUUGUCCACCAGGAAACUAAACCACCCUGCCUUGCAUCGUUGUCCACCAGGAAACUAAACCCCCCCUGCCUUGCAUCGUUGUCCACCAGGAAACUAAACCACCCUACCUUGCACCGUUGUCCACCAGGAAACUAAACUCCCCUGCCUUGCAUCGUUGUCCACCAGGAAACUAAACCCCCCUGCCUUGCACCGUUGUCCACCAGGAAACUAAACCCCCCUACCUUGCACCGUUGUCCACCAGGAAACUAAACCCCCC
This 1259-nucleotide long non-coding RNA is filed under the name Salmo salar (Atlantic salmon). Its description in RNAcentral is "lncRNA (ENSSSAG00000119721.1)". The record is from RNAcentral. Lineage: Eukaryota; Metazoa; Chordata; Actinopteri; Salmoniformes; Salmonidae.